RNAcentral lists this ribosomal RNA (253 nucleotides) under uncultured bacterium. Its description in RNAcentral is "partial 16S ribosomal RNA". It matches the Rfam family "Bacterial small subunit ribosomal RNA", at positions 524 to 776 of the family's 1533-position model. The record is from RNAcentral.
UACGUAGGGUGCGAGCGUUAAUCGGAAUUACUGGGCGUAAAGCGUGCGCAGGCGGUUCGUUAAGUCAGAUGUGAAAGCCCCGGGCUCAACCUGGGAACUGCAUUUGUGACUGCAUGGCUAGAGUGCGGCAGAGGGGGAUGGAAUUCCGCGUGUAGCAGUGAAAUGCGUAGAUAUGCGGAGGAACACCGAUGGCGAAGGCAAUCCCCUGGGCCUGCACUGACGCUCAUGCACGAAAGCGUGGGGAGCAAACAGG